RNAcentral lists this ribosomal RNA (562 nucleotides) under uncultured bacterium. Its description in RNAcentral is "partial 16S ribosomal RNA". It matches the Rfam family "Bacterial small subunit ribosomal RNA", at positions 355 to 907 of the family's 1533-position model. The record is from RNAcentral.
UGGGGAAUAUUGCACAAUGGGCGCAAGCCUGAUGCAGCCAUGCCGCGUGUGUGAAGAAGGCCUUCGGGUUGUAAAGCACUUUCAGCGAGGAGGAAGGUGGUGGACUUAAUACGUUCAUCAAUUGACGUUACUCGCAGAAGAAGCACCGGCUAACUCCGUGCCAGCAGCCGCGGUAAUACGGAGGGUGCAAGCGUUAAUCGGAAUUACUGGGCGUAAAGCGCACGCAGGCGGUUUGUUAAGUCAGAUGUGAAAUCCCCGGGCUCAACCUGGGAACUGCAUUUGAAACUGGCAAGCUAGAGUCUCGUAGAGGGGGGUAGAAUUCCAGGUGUAGCGGUGAAAUGCGUAGAGAUCUGGAGGAAUACCGGUGGCGAAGGCGGCCCCCUGGACGAAGACUGACGCUCAGGUGCGAAAGCGUGGGGCAGCAAACAGGAUUAGAUACCCUGGUAGGUCCACGCUGUAAACGAUGUCGAUUUGGAGGUUGUGCCCUUGAGGCGUGGCUUCCGGAGCUAACGCGUUAAAUCGACCGCCUGGGGAGUACGGCCGCAAGGUUAAAACUUAAAGG